GAUAACUCCGGGAAACCGGGGCUAAUACCGGAUGGUUGUUUGAACCGCAUGGUUCAAACAUAAAAGGUGGCUUCGGCUACCACUUACAGAUGGACCCGCGGCGCAUUAGCUAGUUGGUGAGGUAACGGCUCACCAAGGCAACGAUGCGUAGCCGACCUGAGAGGGUGAUCGGCCACACUGGGACUGAGACACGGCCCAGACUCCUACGGGAGGCAGCAGUAGGGAAUCUUCCGCAAUGGACGAAAGUCUGACGGAGCAACGCCGCGUGAGUGAUGAAGGUUUUCGGAUCGUAAAGCUCUGUUGUUAGGGAAGAACAAGUACCGUUCGAAUAGGGCGGUACCUUGACGGUACCUAACCAGAAAGCCACGGCUAACUACGUGCCAGCAGCCGCGGUAAUACGUAGGUGGCAAGCGUUGUCCGGAAUUAUUGGGCGUAAAGGGCUCGCAGGCGGUUUCUUAAGUCUGAUGUGAAAGCCCCCGGCUCAACCGGGGAGGGUCAUUGGAAACUGGGGAACUUGAGUGCAGAAGAGGAGAGUGGAAUUCCACGUGUAGCGGUGA
Molecule: ribosomal RNA, 557 nt
Filed under: Bacillus sp. PCSM44
Lineage: Bacteria; Bacillati; Bacillota; Bacilli; Caryophanales; Bacillaceae
Description: bacterial SSU rRNA
Rfam family: Bacterial small subunit ribosomal RNA
Source: RNAcentral